ACGCUCGACACCUACUGGAGGCAGCAGUGGGGAAUAUUGCACAAUGGGGGAAACCCUGAUGCAGCGACGCCGCGUGGAGGAAGAAGGUCUUCGGAUUGUAAACUCCUGUUGUUGGGGAAAAAGAGGAUGGUACCCAACAAGGGAGUGACGGCUAACUACGUGCCAACAGCCGCGGUAAUCUGAGCGGGCUGGCAAGGC
This 198-nucleotide ribosomal RNA is filed under the name uncultured bacterium. RNAcentral describes it as "partial 16S ribosomal RNA". It matches the Rfam family "Bacterial small subunit ribosomal RNA", at positions 328 to 539 of the family's 1533-position model. The record is from RNAcentral.